This 253-nucleotide ribosomal RNA is filed under the name uncultured bacterium. Its description in RNAcentral is "partial 16S ribosomal RNA". It matches the Rfam family "Bacterial small subunit ribosomal RNA", at positions 524 to 776 of the family's 1533-position model. The record is from RNAcentral.
UACGUAGGUGGCAAGCGUUGUCCGGAAUUAUUGGGCGUAAAGCGCGCGCAGGCGGUCCUUUAAGUCUGACGUGAAAGCCCACGGCUCAACCGUGGAGGGUCAUUGGAAACUGGGGGACUUGAGUACAGAAGAGGAGAGCGGAAUUCCACGUGUAGCGGUGAAAUGCGUAGAGAUGUGGAGGAACACCAGUGGCGAAGGCGGCUUUCUGGUCUGUAACUGACGCUGAGGCGCGAAAGCGUGGGGAGCAAACAGG